Cannabis sativa is the source of this 938-nucleotide long non-coding RNA. RefSeq lists it as uncharacterized. The record is from RefSeq and is a predicted model, not a curated record. The transcript is spliced from 4 exons. NCBI's taxonomy places the organism in Eukaryota, Viridiplantae, Streptophyta, Magnoliopsida, Rosales, Cannabaceae.
AUCCACACUCCCUGCCUUGUCGGUCAUGUCAAGAUUGGCUGCUCAACAUUUCAGGUUGGAUGUGAAAAAGGACAGAGUCUCUGAAAAUGGAAGGUAGAGAAGGACGAAUUUCAAGUCACCCUGAGAUAUAUGAAUUUACACUCUCCUUUCACCUGAUUAGGUGGAAAGCAUUUAACUGUGUAUCUCUAAAGUAAAGUUGUUUUUCAACACCGGACAAGGGCUAGGACCAGAGUACCAAAAAGGUUUGUUAAACUUCAUAGGAAACCUCAUAUUUGUUGGGAGAAAAAAUAGACACAACUUCAUAAUCUUACGAGGCAUAGAUAAUGGUCACUAUUAGUGCUCUACAAUCUUAUGAGAGUCUUAUGUAGGUCAUGAACAUAGCUAGUGAUGCAAGACUUGGAUGCUUGGAUGUUAUAAAGAAAAAGCACUUGAGAAUUAUUAUUGUUCUAGUUACACAUUGUAUUGUAUUUUUAAGGAAUGCAUGUAUUAAGAUUUUUUUUUUAAAGGAAGGAAUAAUCCCAUUGAAAGGCACAAAUCCAAUAGAGUCACAGACAUUGAAAAAUAAUCAGACUUGGAGAGCGAGUGUAAACCAGGCUACCAAAUUUGAGAGACAUUUAAAAAAAUAAAGCAAUACGAACUAGAGAAUUAGUAGCCUGACUACGUUGUGAAAAAAAAGAGAAGCACUUUUAAUAUCUGUACAAUUGUACCAUACUCAAUAAACAUUUUAUCAUUACAUGAGAUAGCUUGCACCAAGCGGAGACAAUCAAAGAACAUUGUAAACCUUAAAUAACCAAGCCUGAGACAAAGAAGAAGAUCUUGCAAUAAAGUCACUGCAUCUGCCAGCCUGAUUAAUCAACACCGCCCCAAGCCCAAUCAUUCAGUCUUGAUUUAUCCACAAAUAUAGAUUGACAUCACUCAACACCAAAUCAGUAUUUGAG